CACGUGUGCAACCAACCCCGUACCGGGAGAUAACCCGCGGAAACGUGGACUAACACCCCAUAACACCUUUCCCCCGCAUGGGGGGGAGUUUAAAACCCCGGUGGUACGGGACGGGCACGCGCGACAUUAGGUAGUUGGCGGGGUAACGGCCCACCAAGCCGACGAUGUCUAGGGGUUCUGAGAGGAAGGUCCCCCACACUGGAACUGAGACACGGUCCAGACUCCUACGGGAGGCAGCAGUGAGGAAUAUUGGUCAAUGGGCGAGAGCCUGAACCAGCCAAGUCGCGUGAGGGAAGAAUGGUCUAUGGCCUGUAAACCUCUUUUGUCAAGGAAGAAUAAGCGGCACGAGUGCCACCUUGCCAGUACUUGACGAAUAAGCAUCGGCUAACUCCGUGCCAGCAGCCGCGGUAAUACGGGGGAUGCGAGCGUUAUCCGGAUUUAUUGGGUUUAAAGGGCGCGUAGGCGGGACGGCAAGUCAGCGGUAAAAGACUGCAGCUAAACUGUAGCACGCCGUUGAAACUGUCGACCUGGAGACGAGACGAGGGAGGCGGAACAAGUGAAGUAGCGGUGAAAUGCAUAGAUAUCACUUGGAACCCCGAUAGCGAAGGCAGCUUCCCAGGCUCGAUCUGACGCUGAUGCGCGAGAGCGUGGGUAGCGAACAGGAUUAGAUACCCUGGUAGUCCACGCCGUAAACGAUGCUCACUGGAUCUUGGCGAUACACGGCCAGGGUUCAAGCGAAAGUAUUAAGUGAGCCACCUGGGGAGUACGUCGGCAACGAUGAAACUCAAAGGAAUUGACGGGGGCCCGCACAAGCGGAGGAACAUGUGGUUUAAUUCGAUGAUACGCGAGGAACCUUACCCGGGUUUAAAUGCAGGUUGCAUGAGGUGGAAACACCUCUUUCCCUCGGGACUACCUGCAAGGUGCUGCAUGGUUGUCGUCAGCUCGUGCCGUGAGGUGUCGGGUUAAGUCCCAUAACGAGCGCAACCCCUAUCGCCAGUUGCCAUCGGUUCAAGCCGGGCACUCUGUCGAGACUGCCACCGUAAGGUGCGAGGAAGGCGGGGAUGACGUCAAAUCAGCACGGCCCUUACACCCGGGGCGACACACGUGUUACAAUGGCCGGUACAGAGGGCAGCCACGGGGCGACCCGGAGCGAAUCUCUAAAGCCGGUCGUAGUUCGGACUGGAGUCUGCAACCCGACUCCACGAAGUUGGAUUCGCUAGUAAUCGCGCAUCAGC
RNAcentral lists this ribosomal RNA (1235 nucleotides) under metagenome. Its description in RNAcentral is "bacterial SSU rRNA". It matches the Rfam family "Bacterial small subunit ribosomal RNA", at positions 114 to 1353 of the family's 1533-position model. The record is from RNAcentral.